Molecule: transfer RNA, 62 nt
Filed under: Namalycastis abiuma
Lineage: Eukaryota; Metazoa; Annelida; Polychaeta; Phyllodocida; Nereididae
Description: tRNA-Asp
Source: RNAcentral
GGAACUCUAGUUAAUAAAUAACAUUCGUUUGUCAAGCGCAAGUUGCCCUGCGGCGUGUUCCU